GAAUUUAGCAGAGAUGCUUUAGUGCCUUCGGGAACUCUGAGACAGGUGCUGCAUGGCUGUCGUCAGCUCGUGUUGUGAAAUGUUGGGUUAAGUCCCGNAACGAGCGCAACCCUUAUCCUUUGUUGCCAGCACGUAAUGGUGGGAAACUCAAAGGAGACUGCCGGUGAUAAACCGGAGGAAGGUGGGGAUGACGUCAAGUCAUCAUGGCCCUUACGAGUAGGGCUACACACGUGCUACAAUGGCGCAUACAAAGAGAAGCGACCUCGCGAGAGCAAGCGGACCUCAUAAAGUGCGUCGUAGUCCGGAUUGGAGUCUGCAACUCGACUCCAUGAAGUCGGAAUCGCUAGUAAUCGUAAAUCAGAAUGUUACGGUGAAUACGUUCCCGGGCCUUGUACACACCGCCCGUCACACCAUGGGAGUGGGUUGCAAAAGAAGUAGAUAGCUUAACCUUCGGGAGGGCGUUUACCACUUUGUGAUUCAUGACUGGGGUGAAGUCGUAACAAGGUAGGCGUAGUGCU
This 518-nucleotide ribosomal RNA is filed under the name uncultured bacterium. RNAcentral describes it as "bacterial SSU rRNA". It matches the Rfam family "Bacterial small subunit ribosomal RNA", at positions 993 to 1509 of the family's 1533-position model. The record is from RNAcentral.